This 452-nucleotide ribosomal RNA is filed under the name uncultured bacterium. RNAcentral describes it as "bacterial SSU rRNA". It matches the Rfam family "Bacterial small subunit ribosomal RNA", at positions 218 to 658 of the family's 1533-position model. The record is from RNAcentral.
CUAAAAGAUGGGUCUGCGUCUGAUUAGCUAGUUGGUGAGGUAAUGGCUCACCAAGGCGACGAUCAGUAGCCGGUCUGAGAGGAUGAACGGCCACACUGGGACUGAGACACGGCCCAGACUCCUACGGAGGCAGCAGUGGGGAAUCUUCCGCAAUGGACGAAAGUCUGACGGAGCAACGCCGCGUGAGUGAAGAAGGUUUUCGGAUCGUAAAACUCUGUUUUCAGGGACGAAUGUGCGAUGUGUAAAUAAUGCAUUGUAAUGACGGUACCUGAGUAGAAAGCCACGGCUAACUACGUGCCAGCAGCCGCGGUAAUACGUAGGUGGCAAGCGUUGUCCGGAAUUAUUGGGCGUAAAAGCGCGCGCAGGUGGGAUAUUAAGUCUGGUGUUAAAGUUCGGGGGCUCAACCCCCGUGAAGCAUUUGGAAAACUGAUAUUCUUGAGUGCAGGAGAGGC